RNAcentral lists this ribosomal RNA (254 nucleotides) under uncultured bacterium. RNAcentral describes it as "partial 16S ribosomal RNA". It matches the Rfam family "Bacterial small subunit ribosomal RNA", at positions 524 to 776 of the family's 1533-position model. The record is from RNAcentral.
UACGUAGGCAGCAAGCGUUGUUCGGAGUUACUGGGCGUAAAGGGUGUGUAGGCGGUUGUUUAAGUUUGGUGUGAAAUCUCCCGGCUCAACUGGGAGGGUGCGCCGAAUACUGAAUGACUUGGAGUGCGGGAGAGGAGAGUGGAAUUCCUGGUGUAGCGGUGAAAUGCGUAGAUAUCAGGAGGAACACCGGUGGUGUAGACGGCUCUCUGGACCGUAACUGACGCCGAGACACGAAAGCGUGGGUAGCAAACAGG